AGAGUUUGAUCCUGGCUCAGAACGAACGCUGGCGGCGUGCUUAACACAUGCAAGUCGAACGAGAACACCCCUUCGGGGGUUAUUAAAGUGGCGGACGGGUGAGUAACGCGUGGGUAAUCUACCUUCCAGAGGGGGACAACCCGCCGAAAGGCGGGCUAAUACCGCGUAACACGAUUGGUUCACAAGGGCCGAUCGUCAAAGGCAGCCUCUGCUUGCAUGCUGUCACUGGAAGAUGAGCCCGCGUCCCAUUAGCUAGUUGGAGGGAUAACAGCCCCCCAAGGCGACGAUGGGUAGCCGGCCUGAGAGGGUGAACGGCCACACUGGAACUGAGACACGGUCCAGACUCCUACGGGAGGCAGUAGUGGGGAAUAUUGCGCAAUGGGCGAAAGCCUGACGCAGCAACGCCGCGUGAGUGAUGAAGGCCCUCGGGUCGUAAAGCUCUGUCGCAGGGGACGAAAAGCACGGGCCUAACAGGUCCGUGUCAUGACGGUACCCUGCAAGAAAGCUCCGGCCAACUCCGUGCCAGCAGCCGCGGUAAGACGGAGGGAGCAAGCGUUGUUCGGAAUUACUGGGCGUAAAGGGCGCGCAGGCGGUUUUGUAAGUUGGAGGUGAAAGCCCAUGGCUCAACCGUGGAAUUGCCUUCAAAACUGCAUGACUUGAGUACGGAAGA
RNAcentral lists this ribosomal RNA (670 nucleotides) under uncultured bacterium. RNAcentral describes it as "bacterial SSU rRNA". It matches the Rfam family "Bacterial small subunit ribosomal RNA", at positions 8 to 655 of the family's 1533-position model. The record is from RNAcentral.